RNAcentral lists this ribosomal RNA (460 nucleotides) under uncultured bacterium. Its description in RNAcentral is "partial 16S ribosomal RNA". It matches the Rfam family "Bacterial small subunit ribosomal RNA", at positions 338 to 795 of the family's 1533-position model. The record is from RNAcentral.
CCUACGGGAGACAGCAGUGAGGAAUAUUGGUCAAUGGGCUUACGCCUGAACCAGCCAAGUCGCGUGAGGGAAGACUGCCCUAUGGGUUGUAAACCUCUUUUGUCAGGGAGCAAUUGGCGCUACGUGUAGCGUUAUCGAGAGUACCUGCAGAAAAAGCAUCGGCUAACUCCGUGCCAGCAGCCGCGGUAAUACGGAGGAUGCGAGCGUUAUCCGGAUUUAUUGGGUUUAAAGGGUGCGUAGGCGGAAUGCCAAGUCAGCGGUAAAAUCGCGGGGCUCAACCUCGCUCCGCCGUUGAAACUGGCGGUCUUGAGUGGGCGAGAAGUAUGCGGAAUGCGUGGUGUAGCGGUGAAAUGCAUAGAUAUCACGCAGAACUCCGAUUGCGAAGGCAGCAUACCGGCGCCCAACUGACGCUGAAGCACGAAAGCGUGGGUAUCGAACAGGAUUAGAUACCCUUGUAGUC